Molecule: ribosomal RNA, 252 nt
Filed under: uncultured bacterium
Lineage: Bacteria
Description: partial 16S ribosomal RNA
Rfam family: Bacterial small subunit ribosomal RNA
Source: RNAcentral
UACGUAGGGUGCGAGCGUUAAUCGGAAUUACUGGGCGUAAAGCGUGCGCAGGCGGUUUUGUAAGCCAGAUGUGAAAGCCCCGGGCUUAACCUGGGAAUGGCAUUUGGGACUGCAAGGCUUGAGUGCGGCAGAGGAGACUGGAAUUCCUGGUGUAGCAGUGAAAUGCGUAGAUAUCAGGAGGAAUACCGAUGGCGAAGGCAGGUCUCUGGGCUGACACUGACGCUCAUGCACAAAGCGUGGGGAGCAAACAGG